This 279-nucleotide long non-coding RNA is filed under the name Panax ginseng (ginseng). RNAcentral describes it as "long non-coding RNA (PGIN_LNC009044)". Lineage: Eukaryota; Viridiplantae; Streptophyta; Magnoliopsida; Apiales; Araliaceae. The record is from RNAcentral.
CAACAGGUAAUGUGAUAGUGCCAACUUGAAUCAAGCAAGAUUUCUAAACAACGGAUGUAAUGAAAGUUUCUCCUAACGGAGUCUCCAAUAAUAGGUCAAAGUCUAAUUUCUCCGUAGUCAAGUUCAAACGUUGAGCGCAAGCAAGAGAGAUAAAAGAAUGGGUAGAACCGGUAUCUAGUAAGGUAUAAACUUCGCAAGAAUUAUAAUUAACUAACCCGUGCUAAACUCGUUCGGGUUCCUCGCAUUUUGACCGGUCACGACAAACGCUCUUCCAGGAAC